GGAGGCGCGGUCCUUCCAGCCUCUUGCUCCUGUGAAUCACAGGUCGGCGGGAGCCUUUUUUCCUUUUUUUUUUUUUUUUUUUUCCCGGGGAGUCGGCCUCGGGGCUCUGCUCUCCUACCUCAGUCUGCCCUACCCUGGAAUGGGGAAAAUGCGGACAUGCCACUCAGUCCGGCCGCGAACGGUGCUCCAGAACUCAGAGAGUUUUCCAGACGGGUGGAGAUCGCGUUCCCUGCCCGCCGAGGUCCCAUCGCUUCCCUGCUGGGAAGACAAAUGAGGCGCUUUAGCCGUCUCCACGGCCAGCCCCUCCCUCAUAACCCGAGAUUCUUUGUGGGCUCUUAGUCCAUAGCUGCCUUUGAGGUGGUGUAGACCUUGCUAACCAGGACGGCCCAGUAGGCAGAGCUCAUUUUUAUUCCUGUCUGCAAUCGUGCAAAAACGCCUCUUAUGGAAAAGGCAGAGCGCCAGGAGUCAGCAAAACACACUAAAGAUUGGGCAGUCACUGGGGAGAACACGGCCUGAAGCAACUGAAGAUCCACAAAAGAAGUGAAAAUAGCCUUAACUGAUGACAUUCCACCAUUGAGAUUUGUUCCUGCCCCACCCUAACUGAUACGAUAUAUUCUCCCCCGCCCUUAAGAAGACUCAGCCCGCCUGCACCCAGGUGAAAUAUACAGCCUUGUUGCUCACACAAAGCCUGUUUGGUGGUUUCUUCACAUGGAUGCAUGUGACAUUUGGUGCUGAAGACCCAGGACAGGAGGACUCCUUUGGGAGACCAGUCCCCUGUUAUCGCCCUCACUCCGUGAGGAGAUCCACCUAUGAUCUCAGGUCCUCAGACCAACCAGCCCAAGGAACAUCUCACCAAUUUCAAAUCGGAUAGGAGUGUCAGGCCUCUGAGUCCAAGCUAAGCCAUCAAAUCCCCUGUGACCUGCACGUGUACAUCCAGAUGACCUGAAGCAACUGAAGAUCCACAAAAGAAGUGAAAGUAGCCUUAACUGAUGACAUUCCACCAUUGUGAUUUGUUCCUGCCCCAUACUAACUGAUACCAUAUAUUCUUCCCCCGCCCUUGAGAAUGUACUUUGUACGCCUAUCCCAAACCUAUAAGAACUAAUGAUAAUCCCACCACCCUUUGCUGACUCUCUUUUUGGACUCAGCCCGCCUGCACCCAGGUGAAAUAAACAGCCCUGUUGCUCACACAAA
Molecule: long non-coding RNA, 1191 nt
Filed under: Pan troglodytes (chimpanzee)
Lineage: Eukaryota; Metazoa; Chordata; Mammalia; Primates; Hominidae
Description: lincRNA
Source: RNAcentral